Molecule: long non-coding RNA, 3927 nt
Filed under: Sus scrofa (pig)
Lineage: Eukaryota; Metazoa; Chordata; Mammalia; Artiodactyla; Suidae
Description: lncRNA (ENSSSCG00025071954.1)
Source: RNAcentral
AACUCUGAUCCCUUGCUAAAACUAUGUUCUCUUUCAUAUAUUUUAGUCUUUACUGAUCCUUUCUCUUGUUAUAACCCAAAGUAAUGGUAAGAGUCAUCAACUCCCAGCUUCUCCAAAUCCUCAGUAGUCUUUUGUGGAACAAAUGUCACAUUUGUAAGAUGAUAUUCUGCCCAGGGGUCAUUUGUAACCAUAUUUUGGCCUAGCGUUCCUCAGUUUCACACCUGGAUUUCUUUAAAACUCUUAAUUUCUAUACUGCCUAAAAUGUUUAAAUCUAUUUUGGGGAGUAUAAUAGUGUUUUUAUUAACACUUAAACUUUCACUGACAAUGCUAAAUUCUAGAGCUUUAAGGGUAUAAUGUGAAACAGCAUAAUAUACUAACAAAAUUUAAGAGGUAGUAUAACUGUACCUCUGUUCACAAGUAUGGGGACAAGCCCUGCAAGGCUAAAAGCUCAGGACUCAAAAGGUCCUCAGUUGCUGACAUAAUCUCCGUUUGACCUCAGACAGGAUGCACCAAGCAGCCUUGUCCGAUUACAAAAACCACUCACUUCAGGACCAACAGUAACAGGAUUGGAAAGAACCAGUUCAAGAUUGUGGGGGCUGGUCUGAAACGAGCUAGGUUAGCUGGGGGCUAUUGCACCUCAAGUCCAGGAUUGGUAGAAUGGUUCUGAAACGGCUCAUUUCCAAAGUUCCUAAGAUGCUUUUCCCCAACAGAGGCUUAAAUCUAUUUUAAUCUAUCCAUUUGACAUGGUCAUAUUUCUCUUUUAAAAGUCAAAGUAGAAUGGGAACAUCCUGAUCAAUUUAGCUGAACUUGUGUUUGGGGAAGAGUAGUACAAGACAGCUAGAAUUAAGGGUGGUAGAGGUAUAAGAAAGAAAAGUGAUGACACUUGUUUUGUCCCGAGAAAGAGAGAGGGGGCAGGUCCUAAUUUCAGGAGUGACAUCCCAUUGCUCAUGUGGUCAUAUUCUUUUAAUUGGAAGUGAAUCAAGCAGUAGGUCCAGUCCACACUCAAGGAGAGAGGAUUACACAGGGGAGUGAAUAUCAAGAGGCAGAAAUAACUGGAAGCAGCAUAGAGGCAGCAUUCCACAUCCCCCUUUGGCUUUCUAGAGGUGACUAUUUCAUUGUUGUUCUUAAAAGGUUAGGCUAAUUUAAAUCAUGACCAAAUUAUGCUACAACUUUUAAUCAAUCUUUUACCCUAGGCCACACAUUUCCUGGUCCAGCCCAGCCCACUGUUUUCCAGACUGUAAUACAAGGCCACUCUUCUUCUUUACAGGUGGUCAUCCCUUUUCAGGCCUUCAACUGAUGCUCUUCUGUUGACAAGCUCAAAUCUCUUACCCAAAUUUUAUAUCCUACGGCUCUUCAUUUGUCCUCCAAAAACUCUUUAGAUUUUUCACUUUUGGAGUUCCACUGUGGCUCAGUGGUAUUUAUCCAUGAGGACAUGGGUUCGAUCCCUGGCCUCACUCAGUGGAUUAAGGAUCCGGCGUUGCCGUGAACUGUGGUGUGGGUCACAGAUGCAGCUGGGAUCCAGCAUUGCUGUGGCUGUGGUAUAGGCUGGCAGCUAUAGCUCUGAUUCGACCCCUAGCCUGGAACCUCUAUAUGCUGCUGGUGCGGCCCUAAAAUGACAGAAGCCCCCCCCCAAAAAAAUUGCUCUUUAGGACUAAUAAAUUAUUUAAGGAAUUCCUGUUGUGGUGCAGCAGAAAUGAAUCCAAUGGGAACCAUGAGGUUUCAGGUUCAAUCCCUGGCCUUGCUCAGUGGGUUAAGGAUCCAGCAUUGCUGUGACCUGUGGCGUAGGUUGCAGAUGCAGCAGCAGCUCUGAUUAGGCCCCUAACCUGGGAACCUCCAUAUGCUGUGGGCAUGGCCCUAAAAAAAAAAAAAAAAAGAAAUAAUUUUAAGAUCUGGAAGGGAGAGUUGAUAUGUGAUGUUAGAAUAUAAUGGUCUAAACAUUCUUUUGCCCUAACAAACCGCAGACUCAUUCAGUCAGGUGUCUGUUGAGGCAAUCUAGCCUCGUACCUGCAUUUGCAUCCAUGCAGUCUACCUUUUCUCCUGGCCAGAUGCCUACAAAGCCAAGGGCCCAUUCAGGCUCCAGGAUCCAUCUCCUCUCACCUCUUCAGGGCCUGGAGUCCAUCCCUCCUAACACAUAAGGAUGUUGGUCCACCAAUAUGCUUUCUUGAAUCAUCAGUUUUCCCAUCUCCACUAGGAUCUCUCCUCUGAAUGCCAACAUGGUAUGUUGUUUCUCGUAAAGAUCGUAAAGUCUUUCUUUUGAUCCCAUCUACUGUCCCUGCUAUAUCUUCUCUCCUUUUUCAGCAAAAUCCUUGAGAGUUUUGUACAAUUGCUGCCUCUAGUCUUCAUUCAUUACGAAAUCCAAUCCAACCAGUCUACUGAACUGCACUAUCAAGAUCACCAUGACUGCCAUGUUGUUAAAUCCAAGGGUUAAGUCUCAAACAUCUCACUUGUUGUGCAAUUACUCCCCUCUUGGAAACACCCUGCUCCUCUUGGCUUCCAGGAUGCCAUACUUUCCCACUUUGCUGGUUGUGCCCUCUGUCUUCCUUGGUUUCUCUUCAUCUCCACAGAUGUCAUGGUAGAGUACCGUGAACUUUUCUGUUUAUACUAGGUCCCUUUUUUAAAAUUUUUAAAUUAGAGUUGAUUAUAAAAUUAUAGUUGGCAGAAUUUUGUGCCAAUUUCAGCUGUACAACAGACUCAGUUAUACAAAUAUAUACACAUAUAUUUCUGUGUGUGUAUAUAUAUAUUUACAUAUUAUUUUAAAUUUUCUUUUCCAUCAUGAUCUAUCCUAGGACAUUGGAUAUAGUUCUCUGUGCUAUACAGUAGGACCUUUCUAAAUGUGAUAGUUUGCAUCUACUAACCCCAAACUCCGUCUCUCUCCCUCCCCUCUCCCCCUUGGCAACCACAAACCUGUUAUCUAUGUCUGUGGGUCUGCUUCUGUUUUAUAGAUAGGUUCAUUUGUGCCAUGUUUAAUUUAAUUAAUUUAUUUUGGCUAUGCCCAUAGCAUGUGAAAGCUCUCAGGCCAGGGAUCAAACCCAAGCCAUAGCAGUGACAAUGCUGAAUCCACUAGGCCAUCAGGGAAUGCUCAUGUGCCAUAUUUCAGAUUCCACAUGUAAGUGAAACGGUAUUUGUCUUUCUGACCUACUUCACUUAGUAUGAUAAUCUCUAGUUUCUUGCACAUUGCUGCAUCAUUCUCUUGGUUUUACAUACCAUUUAUACGCUGAUGAUUCUCAAACUUACAUUCCUAGUCAUAACCUCUCCCCAACUCCAGACUCAUAAUAGUGAUUUUUUAAAAUACCAGAAAUAGUGCAAAGAUGACUUCAAAGUGAGAACAUCUGAGCUUUAACAGAUGCUGAAAGAACUUAUCUGACUUCUCUUAUUUGACUCAAACAAGAGCUUCAUGACAAUCAGUGACCUGCCCUUCCCAGCAAGUGUCCUGUCAGGGAAGUGACCAACCUCAAGCAUUCCAAAACUCAGCUCAACUCAUUUCAGUAAGCCCUAUCAGAACUUUCCAUCCUUGGAAGACCUAAACUUCCCCUGUCUCUGCUGCCCUUUAUUAAGCUGGCAUAUAACCCUUUACCUCUCGCUGUUUGGGGACCUACUCUAGAGUACGCCUCCAUGCAUAAUAAACUUUUCUCUCCUGCUGGUCAAUUAAUUUGCCGGCUCUGAUAACUAGGACCUUGGGUAGAGAACAGAAUUUCCUCCCAUCAAUAACUUAAACACCUCCUUGAUAGCUCUAUUUGGUUGAAAAGAGGCAUCCUGUACUGAGUCCCAAAGGAAACUCUGACCUCCAAACCUCCGCCCCCACAUCCUCAUCCUGCUUCUAUUGCCUAGACACCCAGAAUCUAACCACUUCCCACCGACCCCACGGUUACCACUGUGGUUCCCAGUCACAGUCCAUUCUCGCCUGGGUUGUUACAAUAGACUCCCCAC